This is a long non-coding RNA of Raphanus sativus (radish), 1216 nucleotides long. RefSeq lists it as uncharacterized. NCBI's taxonomy places the organism in Eukaryota, Viridiplantae, Streptophyta, Magnoliopsida, Brassicales, Brassicaceae. The record is from RefSeq and is a predicted model, not a curated record. The transcript has 5 exons.
UCAAGAUUUUUCCGUUACGUUACGAUUGAAUCAGAGUUUCGCCUGAGAAGAAGACGAACCCUAAUCCGCUGAUACUUUCGUCGUGUUUUUCAUUGGCUCAGUUGGUACAUGAUUUUUUCACCAUAAUUUGUCAGGAAAAUCGGCAGUCAGCUAACUCGAAAAUGCCGUGUAAGAAAAACCGCCUCUGUUUCCUCCGGUCAGCUUCUUCCAUAAGAGGAAGCAUAUCGGCGAGUGCGGAGAGAAAAAACAGAGGGCUGAUGGGUAUUACGCAUAAGAGAAACGCCACCGUUGAAGAUAAGAAAAUUUCCAUGGCCGCAGCUUCAGCCAUUAAUGGCAGCAGAAGGAAAUCACUUGGAGGGAGGACAUCACUUGGUGGUUUCGGGGUUUGUUUGUGUUACGGCCCCCUGCUGAUCAAUACUGAUCACUUCUUAUCAUUGAGAAUGAUUUUGUGUGUAGCAUGAAGCUAUGCAGAAAAGCUAAAAGCUUUUCAAAAUAUAAGGAGAAGCUGAAAAAUCUGGAGAUUGACAGAGAACGUGUUGCCUCUGAUUCCAUACAGCCAUUGACUGAAACUUUAUUAGCUAGCUUGGAAGCACCGACUCAAGAAGACAAGCAUUAGGCUCACAAGCCAAAGAUCCUAAGCUGAGUCAGUCAUGCUUAUGCAUUUCUCUGCUGUUUUAACCUUUAAACAUAUACAUACUUCAAAACUCUAACUUUUUGUGCAAUUCACUAUGAUAUGUGCAGCUCAUUUUUAAGGCACAUUUACCUAUCUACAUGGACACUAGAUCAGAGAACCAACCAGAGUCAGACAAGUCAAACCAGAGUUUGGUUCUUAUCUCAUGCUUGAGGCAGCACACAGAGGAACGAAGAAAAUAAUUCCUUAACUGGAAACUGGACAACACAAGGUUUUUAUCGACAAAGAAGAAUAUAUAGAGUAAGUGAGAAUAUCAAAGUUAUCUUCUUACCCCCUUUUCACCUUAGAAUUGAGCGGGAAGAAAGAUUAAAACAUCUCAUCAUCAUCAAAUUCUCUGCCGUUUGAUGAUGACCUUGAGAUUAAGGAGUAGUUACAUGAAUCAAGUUUCUGUGGAGGAUGAUGUGGUCUACAAUGCAGUGGUUGAAGUUUUAGGCAGAUCAGUUGAAACUAUUAUAUACUAUUUUGUAUGUAUCUCAAACAUAUUUCAAUUUCAAACAAUAAUAUAUUCAAAUAUAAAAUUUAGCU